This 85-nucleotide transfer RNA is filed under the name Candidatus Kinetoplastidibacterium desouzai TCC079E. RNAcentral's name for it is "tRNA-Leu (TAA) (tRNA-Leu-TAA-1-1)". It matches the Rfam family "tRNA". From Rfam's summary of the family: Transfer RNA (tRNA) molecules are approximately 80 nucleotides in length. Their secondary structure includes four short double-helical elements and three loops (D, anti-codon, and T loops). Lineage: Bacteria; Pseudomonadati; Pseudomonadota; Betaproteobacteria. The record is from RNAcentral.
GCACCUGUGGCGAAAUUGGUAGACGCAAGGGACUUAAAAUCCCUCGCCGAAAGGCAUGCCGGUUCGACUCCGGCCAGGUGCACCA